Molecule: small RNA, 744 nt
Filed under: Pongo abelii (Sumatran orangutan)
Lineage: Eukaryota; Metazoa; Chordata; Mammalia; Primates; Hominidae
Description: processed transcript
Source: RNAcentral
UACAACUGUGCGGCCGCUUCGUGCAAAAGCUCGGGGACGCUCUGCCGGAGGAGAUUCGGGAGCCCGCUCUGCGAGAUGCGCAGUGGACUUUUGAAUCAGCUGUGCAAGAGAAUAUCAGCAUUAAUGGGCAAGCAUGGCAGGAAGCUUCAGAUAAUUGUUUUAUGGAUUCUGACAUCAAAGUACUUGAAGAUCAGUUUGAUGAAAUCAUAGUAGAUAUAGCCACAAAACGUAAGCAGUAUCCCAGAAAGAUCCUGGAGUGUGUCAUCAAAACCAUAAAAGCAAAACAAGAAAUUCUGAAGCAGUACCACCCUGUUGUACAUCCACUGGACCUAAAAUAUGACCCUGAUCCAGGUGAGUCAGUAUCCAUUUGUGGUAAAAAUGAAGCAUCUGCUUAUAAUUUUUAUGGGUUUCUGAUAAACUUCCUAUCAGUCAUUCAUGUUUAGCAUUUCACCUAGAAUUAAGAGGACUAGCUUUACACCCACUGACUCAGAAUUCCAGGGGUGUUACCCCGGAAUCUGAGCUUUUAUAAAGUUCUCGCCUGACCCAGACUAUUAUAACACAUACCCAUCUCUAACUUCUAAUACCCUCCUAUCUCUGUCAUUGUACUAUCUAUUCUUUGCAUUAUAGCCAAAGCUAUAGUAUUAAAGCAUUCUCUCAUAGUGUCACACCCAGUGCAGUAACCAUCAUUGGUUUCUUAUUAUUUCUAAAAUCAAAUAAAAAUAUAUCGAAUUUAAGAAGAAAUAC